GCGAGUGUGGCGGAAUUGGUAGACGCGCAUGCUUGAGGGGCAUGUGGUUCUUGACCGUGGGGGUUCGAGUCCCCCCAUUCGCA
This 83-nucleotide transfer RNA is filed under the name Haloplasma contractile SSD-17B. It matches the Rfam family "tRNA". From Rfam's summary of the family: Transfer RNA (tRNA) molecules are approximately 80 nucleotides in length. Their secondary structure includes four short double-helical elements and three loops (D, anti-codon, and T loops). Further hydrogen bonds mediate the characteristic L-shaped molecular structure. tRNAs have two regions of fundamental functional importance: the anti-codon, which is responsible for specific mRNA codon recognition, and the 3' end, to which the tRNAs corresponding amino acid is attached (by aminoacyl-tRNA synthetases). tRNAs cope with the degeneracy of the genetic code in two manners: having more than one tRNA (with a specific anti-codon) for a particular amino acid; and 'wobble' base-pairing, i.e. permitting non-standard base-pairing at the 3rd anti-codon position. Lineage: Bacteria; Bacillati; Mycoplasmatota; Mollicutes; Haloplasmatales; Haloplasmataceae. The record is from Rfam by way of RNAcentral.